AUGCUGUUGGUGUAGUUCAUUCUUAUGAAGAUGGCAUGCCAGCUGGAUCUCAUAAUACACGAUUAACUGCUCUCAAUGUCCCUCCUAUGGGUUUGUUCUUCCCAAUGGUUUUGGUCCCAGAUGCAUAUCCUCCUCCACCCAGUGUUUGGUUUCGUGACUACGAGGACAUGCUAGAAU
Molecule: non-coding RNA, 177 nt
Organism: Malus domestica (apple)
Lineage: Eukaryota; Viridiplantae; Streptophyta; Magnoliopsida; Rosales; Rosaceae
Source: RefSeq, a predicted model, not a curated record